RNAcentral lists this transfer RNA (74 nucleotides) under Candidatus Pacearchaeota archaeon. RNAcentral describes it as "tRNA-Ile". It matches the Rfam family "tRNA". Rfam says of the family: Transfer RNA (tRNA) molecules are approximately 80 nucleotides in length. Lineage: Archaea; Nanobdellati. The record is from RNAcentral.
GAGCCUGUAGCUCAGCCCGGCAGAGCACUGCUCUGAUAAGGCAGGGGUCCGAGGUUCAAAUCCUCGCAGGCUCA